GUUUACCUGCUGUUGUCCCUUGUACAAUAGAACAUGUCGUGACCAGCGGUAAAGGAAAAUAAACUAUUCUGCUAAGGUGCAUUAAGUCAAAUAAUAUAAAAAAAAUACAUACAUCUGCAUUUGGCACAGCGGUUGAUGAUGUUACAUGUGGAGGUUGGCCCUGUGCGGUCGAUAGAAUGCAGGUUGCUGCAAAUACUGCAAGAGCAAGGAUCAUUAUGAAAUGCCUAUGCUAAAAUUACAAGCUGGUAGGCGUCAGUUUCUUUCAAACGGUUAUCGAAAUUAUGAC
Molecule: long non-coding RNA, 286 nt
Organism: Achroia grisella
Lineage: Eukaryota; Metazoa; Arthropoda; Insecta; Lepidoptera; Pyralidae
Exons: 3
Source: RefSeq, a predicted model, not a curated record